ACACUUUGAUGGAAGUUUUCAAAUUUUACUUCUCACACUUGCAAUUUUCCCACAUGUGGGAAACUUGACUGCAUAAUUUCUGGUAAUGGGAGACUGUGUUUGUGCUCUCCCCUG
Ictidomys tridecemlineatus (thirteen-lined ground squirrel) is the source of this 114-nucleotide small nuclear RNA. Its record names the gene U1. It matches the Rfam family "U1 spliceosomal RNA". Rfam says of the family: U1 is a small nuclear RNA (snRNA) component of the spliceosome (involved in pre-mRNA splicing). Lineage: Eukaryota; Metazoa; Chordata; Mammalia; Rodentia; Sciuridae. The record is from Ensembl.